Long non-coding RNA from Pezoporus occidentalis (night parrot), 967 nucleotides. RefSeq lists it as uncharacterized. The record is from RefSeq and is a predicted model, not a curated record. The transcript has 2 exons. NCBI's taxonomy places the organism in Eukaryota, Metazoa, Chordata, Aves, Psittaciformes, Psittacidae.
AGCAACAUUUAAAAAGGAAAAGUAAGUCUUAGUUUCCUGGAAUUUAUAUAAAGUGUCAGAGGUUGUUAAAAAGUGCUUGUGGAGGAAUAGUGGACUUACCUGGGAGUAACUAACCUUGUGGUAGCCCUCUUUGUAUGUCAGUUUAUACAUACAAGUCUCUUGGUUUUGUUUUGCAAAGCAUAUUGGUGGUUCUUGUUUCACUUUCUCUAUAUGAAAUCUAUCUGUGAGGACAGGAAAUACAUACAGCAUGUUUGUUUUGUAACAGCAGGGGACCUGGCUAGAAGGGGACCUGGUUGUCAUAAAAUCUAGUAUUAAAAGGCAGUUCCGAUUUACAUGCCUGUGCAUCCCUUCACAAACUUUUUUCAUGCAAGUUUUGUUUUCCUUACACAUUAUCAGAAAAAUAUAGAAAUAACAGAACUACUACUGAUACACCUUUUUAUUCUGAACUAAACAAGAAGAGACUUAAACUUAGUACCAUCACAGAUGGACAGAUCACUCUUCCAAAAGAAGGUCACCAAGGACUGGCACAGGCUGCUCAUAGAGGUUGUGGUGUCUCCCACCUUGGAGAUACGCAGAAACCAUCUGGACAUGGCCCUGGCCAAGCAGCUGUGGGUGGCCGUGCUUGAACAGGAGAGUUCAGCCUGGAUGACCUCCAGAGGUCCCUUCCAACCUCAACCACUCUGUGAUUGAAUAAAGUAUUCUCUCCAAUACUGUGUCCUUAACUUUGAUCUUGCUCACCAGAAUCUGUCUCCAAAAAAAAGGGAGACAUGCACCCGUAUCAUUCAGAAGUAAACCAGUUCAUGCAAGUCUUGAAUAAGAGGUGCAUCAUCAGACAAAUCAAGACUAGGGAAUGUGCGAUUGACAAAAUCCUUACAGCUCAGUAGGCCUAGAACUCUAAGCUUUUGAUAAAAACUAUCAAACUCUCUGAAGCACAGAAAUAGAUGAAGCCCAUUUAGGAAAUGGAAAA